AUGGUGUCCUUGAUCACAAAUGCAGAAGGAAGAGGUUCCAGCGAACUGAACUGGCCAAAUGACUGGACUGUGAAGUCUCCCAACGAGCCAGUGAUGGGCCUGACAACAUACACGCCAACGUUCCAUGUUCCCUACUCAUCACAGAGAAGCAUGUUACAAGAGGUGGAAGAAUUUCAGGAUAGUGUCCUCUUGGAAAAUGAGAUGUGAUACAGUAUGUGAUGGAAAACUGAGAGCACGCUUUCCUAAUAAAGCAAAUUGUAAAGAAUGAAAAUAUGAAAAU
This 280-nucleotide long non-coding RNA is filed under the name Vulpes vulpes (red fox). RNAcentral's name for it is "lncRNA (ENSVVUG00000019731.1)". The record is from RNAcentral. Lineage: Eukaryota; Metazoa; Chordata; Mammalia; Carnivora; Canidae.